This 1450-nucleotide ribosomal RNA is filed under the name metagenome. RNAcentral's name for it is "bacterial LSU rRNA". It matches the Rfam family "Bacterial large subunit ribosomal RNA", at positions 1119 to 2594 of the family's 2925-position model. The record is from RNAcentral.
ACAUUCAAAGAGUGCGUAAUAGCUCACUAGUCGAGAGGUCCUGCGCCGAAAAUGUCCGGGGCUAAAACACGACACCGAAGCUUAGGAAUAUACAUUGUAUAUUGGUAGAGGAGCAAUCUUAACGGGAAGAAGCAGUACUGUAAGGUGCUGUGGACUGUUAAGAAGAGAGAAUGCCGGAAUGAGUAGCGAGAUGGAGGUGGGAAUCCUCCAGGCCGAAUAUCCAAGGUUUCCAGGGUAAAGCUGAUCUGCCCUGGGGAAGUCGGGGCCUAAGGCGAGGUCGAAAGACGUAGCUGAUGGACAACAGGUUGAUAUUCCUGUACUAUCAUAUGACAGAACUGUGGGGACGCAGAAAGAGAGCCUGAGCCGGGAAAGGGAAAACCGGUGCAAGCGGGGUAGGAGUCGUGUAGGCAAAUCCGCACGGCAAUCCGAAGACGUGAAGCGGAGCGAACUAAAGUAGCGAAGCAGGUGAGCUGGCUGCCAAGAAAAGCCGCUAUUGUUCAUAUGAUACCCGUACCGUAAACCGACACAGGUGGAUGAGGAGAGAAUCCUAAGGCCGGCGGAAGAAGCAUUGUUAAGGAACUCGGCAAAAUGACCCCGUAACUUCGGGAGAAGGGGUGCCUGCGAGAGCAGGCCGCAGAGAAUAGGCUCAAGCAACUGUUUAGCAAAAACACAGGUCUAUGCGAAACCGAAAGGUGAGGUAUAUGGGCUGACGCCUGCCCGGUGCUGGAAGGUUAAGGGGAGAGGUUAGCGCAAGCGAAGCUUUGAACUUAAGCCCCAGUAAACGGCGGCCGUAACUAUAACGGUCCUAAGGUAGCGAAAUUCCUUGUCAGGUAAGUUCUGACCCGCACGAAUGGCGUAAUGACUUGUGCACUGUCUCAACUGUGAAUCCGGCGAAGUUGUAGUGCGAGUGAAGAUGCUCGCUACCCGCGAUUGGACGGAAAGACCCCGUAGAGCUUUACUGUAGCUUAGCAUUGAAUUUCGGUAUUGUCUGUACAGGAUAGGUGGGAGACUGGGAAAUUAGGGCGUCAGCCUUAAUGGAGUCGUUGUUGGGAUACCACCCUGAUAGUAUUGAAGUUCUAACUGGAUGCCAUGAAACUGGUGACAGGACAUUGUUAGGUGGGCAGUUUGACUGGGGCGGUCGCCUCCUAAAAUGUAACGGAGGCGCCCAAAGGUUCCCUCAGAACGGUCGGAAAUCGUUCGUAGAGUGUAAAGGCAUAAGGGAGCCUGACUGCGAGACCUACAAGUCGAGCAGGGACGAAAGUCGGGCUUAGUGAUCCGGUGGUACCUCGUGGGAGGGCCAUCGCUCAACGGAUAAAAGCUACCUCGGGGAUAACAGGCUGAUCUCCCCCAAGAGUUCACAUCGACGGGGAGGUUUGGCACCUCGAUGUCGGCUCGUCGCAUCCUGGGGCUGAAGUAGGUCCCAAGGGUUGGGCUGUUCGCCCAUUAAAGC